GACCUCGGAUCAGGUAGGGAUACCCGCUGAACUUAAGCAUAUCAAUAAGCGGAGGAAAAGAAACCAACAGGGAUUACCUCAGUAACGGCGAGUGAAGCGGUAACAGCUCAAAUUUGAAAUCUGGCUCUUUUAGAGUCCGAGUUGUAAUUUGUAGAAGAUGCUUUGGGUGUGGCCCUGGUCUAAGUUCCUUGGAACAGGACGUCAUAGAGGGUGAGAAUCCCGUAUGUGACUAGGUGCUUUCGCCCGUGUAAAGCUCUUUCGACGAGUCGAGUUGUUUGGGAAUGCAGCUCAAAAUGGGUGGUAAAUUUCAUCUAAAGCUAAAUAUUGGCCAGAGACCGAUAGCGCACAAGUAGAGUGAUCGAAAGAUGAAAAGCACUUUGGAAAGAGAGUUAAACAGUACGUGAAAUUGUUGAAAGGGAAGCGCUUGCAACCAG
RNAcentral lists this ribosomal RNA (434 nucleotides) under uncultured fungus. RNAcentral describes it as "eukaryotic LSU rRNA". It matches the Rfam family "Eukaryotic large subunit ribosomal RNA", at positions 1 to 432 of the family's 3401-position model. Lineage: Eukaryota; Fungi. The record is from RNAcentral.